UACGGGGGGAGCAAGCGUUGUUCGGAUUUACUGGGCGUAAAGGGCGCGUAGGCGGCGCAACAAGUCACUUGUGAAAUCUCCGGGCUUAACUCGGAGCGGCCAAGUGAUACUGUCGUGCUAGAGUGCGGAAGGGGCAACUGGAAUUCUCGGUGUAGCGGUGAAAUGCGUAGAUAUCGAGAGGAACACCUGCGGCGAAGGCGAGUCCCUGGACAGAUCCUGACGCUGAGGCACGAAAGCUAGGGGAGCAAACAGG
RNAcentral lists this ribosomal RNA (253 nucleotides) under uncultured bacterium. Its description in RNAcentral is "partial 16S ribosomal RNA". It matches the Rfam family "Bacterial small subunit ribosomal RNA", at positions 524 to 776 of the family's 1533-position model. The record is from RNAcentral.